UCACAUUAAAACUAGACCUAACAUCAGAUGGAGACCUGAACCUAGAACAAAAAAAAAAAAUCCGAGGACAGGCCUUUGGAAGAAGCGACAAACGGCGGAUCUGACUCCCCCCAGUUUCCUCCAUUUUCUUCUUCUUCUCAAGCCAUAAGACAAAACACCCCUCCUUAUGCACAGUGACAAGAAACGGCGCUCCUUCAAUGGAAUUUUGAGAUCCAUCUCAUCUUCUUCAUUUGAGAGGGUUAAUAAAAACAAACUUGAGAAAAAGCAGCUGCUCGCACCAAAAUCCUCUGAACCAAGCUCCCAUUUUCUUCCUUAAACCACCAGCAAAAGGCCAACCAUGGACAGCAGCUGAACCACCUCCAAAACACCAUUAGAGCACCUUUAAAGCCACCUUAUUAAGCUCCAAAACACUGCUCUCAAACCACCCCAAAUCAGCCCAUGUUUUCUGCUCAAAAUAACGCAGCAAAAACAGCUCUCAAACAAGCCAAUAACCAGCUGAAAUCCAGCUCUAAAACACCCAAAAAAUAUCAGCCAAAACGCAGCUAAAAUAGGUCCCAAAUCCAGCUACAUCGCACCACCAAAACCCGCGCCACAUCAACUUUAAAACAGUCCCGAACACUGCUGCAUUUCUGCUUUAGAAAGUGUUAAAUCGAUGGAACAGUCGAAACAAAACUCUUGCAUUUGAAGAUUAAAUUUCAGAUUUAAAAUUUCUCUUAGUUUGGGUGUCGAUGUUUGGGUUCGAUAGAAGUGUUGUUGCUCGUUGAUUUCCCCUGCUGCUGUUCCGGAAUUGUUGAACCUCGCCAAUUAGGAGUUCUAGGCUUGUAUUUGGUUCUUGAGCUACUGUUGUCUCCUUGCUUAGGUAUGUAAAUCAUAACCUUUCUUUUGAAAUAUGAUUGUAAUUUUGUUGUAUUCUUGCCGGAUUUCCUAGUGAUGCAGAGGUGUUUGCUUAAACUUCAAUUUCUAUGUUAUUUUGUUUAGCUCUUGGUUGAUAUGUAAUGUUAAACAUUUCAUUAGAUUUUCAAAUUGGUGUAAGUUAUGGACAGGUUUGAAAUUCUACUUGAUAUUCUGGUGAAUUUGUGAAGGUUAAAUACAUCGACGAUGUGAAAGUUGUUUAGCUAAAAAUGCAGUCUCUGUUUCGAUUAUGUGAAUAUGCAGGUUUAUUCUAUUUACUUAAAGGCUUAGAUGCUCUGUCACGCUGAAAUCUGCAAUAAUUGUUCCCUUAUUUCUCUGAAAAGUUCAUCACUGUUAAGUGCAAGUUUGAAUUAAUGUUGGACUAUUUUGAUGCAUAGAGUUAGAAUAAAUCUGUGUACAAGGGUUGUUUUUUGAUAAUCAUUGUUAGAUUUUCAUUAAGAAUACUAUAGGUCUAUUGCUCAAGUGUUUUUGAAGAACCUGGAGGUGCUGUUCAAUUGAAAUAGGUUCCAAAAUUAAAAAAUCUCUUUUUAAAUGAAAAUUGGAAACAUCAGUAUCAAGUCACGAGUUUAAUUAGUGUUUGAAUGGAUUCGAAAUUUAAGGGAAGCAUGAAUGUGUUUGUUCGUAUGAAUAUUGGUUUCAGCUAGCCUACAAUAUCGUUACCCAUGCUUGUGGUAAAAGUAUAUAGGUAGUUGGUAAUUGUAUGUUUUCAAAUUCUGUUGAAGAUCAACAGUCCUGUCCUUAUUUGCUUUUGAUUUGGACUUGUCUAUGAGCAUGUAACUUGUUUGGGGCAUGGCAAAUUGAAAUAAGACUUGUUGCCUACUUUAUUCCUUAAAUCCCUAAACCAAUUAUAAUGGCUUGGUCACAAAUGAGUUUCUGAUGAACACCUGGCCUACAAUAAUCUUAAACUAGUCUUAGGAAAAUAAUGAACAUCCGUAGUUUGCUUUAGUUUUAUACAAUUUUUGAAAUAAAUUAAGGUGUGACAUCCACAAUUGAAUCACUUAAUCUAUGGCCCUCGCAUUAAUAUUAUAACUAGUGUAGAAAAUACUUUGAUCACUCGUAGUGUGCUUUAGGCGCGUAAAUAAAUCAUCGUGGCUAUGGGUACGGUUCCCGUAGCAUGGUCACGAUACUUAAUCCCCAAUUCGGGUGUGCAUUUCAUGUGACCCGACCACAACUUCGAACAAUAAUAAUAAAAUAAACAUGUAGCAAAUCGCGGGUGUAUUUCAUGUAGUGCGGUUUGCGGUGUGUUCCAAAACGGCAAGUGUACGACAAUCGUAACUUGUUCAAGAAAUAAUUUAUAAAUCCCAAAAGAGGUUUUAAAAAUAAUUAAAAGCGGUUAUGAAGUUUCAAAAAUGCACAAUAGGUUUAAAACAUGUAAUAAAUCAGAUAAUAAGCCAAUUAUUAAUAGUUUAAGCGACUGUGCUAGAACCACAGAACCCGGAAAUGCCCAACACCUUCUCCCGGGUUAACAGAAUUCCUUAUCUAAAAUUUCUAGUUUUGUAGAUUUUUAACUAAAGUCAAAUUUCCUCGAUUUGGGAUUUGAAAUAAAUCGGUGACUUGGGACACCAAAUAAAUUAUCUCAAGUGGUGACUCUGAAAAUUAAGUAAAAUAAUCCCAUUUCGAAUAAUGUCACUUUAAUUGAAAAAACUCCCUUAUAUCCCCUCGGUGGUAAAAAAGGAGGUGUGACAGGUAUGUCGGGGCCCUGUUCCGGCAAUGUUGCAGCACCUAUUCUCCUUUAGAGGCUCAUAGAUAUGUGUCGACUCAUGUAUAGUUUCGUAUGCCUUGUCGGCUAAUUUUUGUUGUAUAGUCUUUCAUGACAGCGUGGUAGCUCGUACCUUAUAUAUAGUUUCUUGACUAUCUGGUCAUCCCAUGUUAUAUAUGUUCAUGCCAUUAUCUUUCAUUAUUGUUUGUUCAUGAUCCAUGUCUACCAUUUAUAUUGAUCCCAUCGGCCCUUAAAGAUAAGAAGAAAGGUUAGAUAAAAUGUAUGUUGGUGCUCGGCAAGUGUGGUCGGGUGCUAGUCAUGACCCUCUAGUUUGGGUCGUGAUAGAUCGCUCUCGUUGUUGUGACCGAAUCUGCUCCCCCCGGCCCCAUUGAAGCCGACCUUGCCCCUCGGAGUUUUGUUGUCGACCCUCUACGUUGUUUGAUUUGCGGGAGCACUGGGAGGAGCUGGACCCCGUCCAUUUGCGUUAUUGGAAGUACCCGAUAACGCCUAAUUUAGCUCUAUAAUAACCUUAUCCAGGCGUGUGAGAUGGCCUAAAAUGGCCUCUUGUUACUCCUGCAAGACCCUUAUUGCUUUGAUGACAUUCCCUUCUUUAGCAUCAUUGGGAGUUGUCCCUCGAACAUGUCGUGGGUACCGCCUUCUGUGGACCGGUGUUGCCUCGUUCCCCUCACUAGAGGUAUCACUGAUUGAAUCCUCCUGUUGAGGCUGAUUUCUUUGGGCCUCAAGGUUGUAUGUGUUGUUAACACCAUUAUCUACAAUUUGCUAUGAUUUUUUGCUAAGAAAAAUAAACAAACACAUUAGUAAAAGAGGUAAGGACCAACUUAAUUACACAACUGUCUAAGUCCUAUGGCGGGCACCAAACUGUUUACCCGUAAAACGAUACAGAUGAAUUCAUACGUGGUUUAUAGACAAGUGAAUUAAUUUGAUCCUAAAAUAAUAGAUGAAUUAGAAAAAAUUAUGAUACAUAGCCUUGGGAUGAAGAUAAAAUAGCAUAAAUAAUAAUUUCGAGAAUAGGGUUUCAGGGGACAAUAGCAACAAUAUCAGUAAACAAGAAGAUUAAAUUAUAUUGAGCUUUCAAUAGAGUGCAGCGUAUGUUUGUCAAAAAAUUUGUCUCUUUACAAUGAUAAUAGAGUUUGCUAUUUAUAGUUGCACUUAGGGAACAAGGUUCUAGGAUCAAGUCCCUCUUUAAUGUCAAUUAUGAGGGCCAUUGAUGAAUGUGUAGCAACAGGCAGUGAAUAUCAUAUUCCUUGUAACGGGCCGUGUACUUAAUGCUGUAGAAUAUCUUCAUUAAAUGCUACCAGGUGGUAGGCAUUUAUUUAAUCUUUAUGUGUAUCAUCUAUCUGGUAACAAACGGGAUCGUUGCCUUCGAAUUCAACUAUCUUUUGUCUUCGGCUACAUGUGUCAUUUUCUCAUGCGAUAAUUUAAUAUAAAUAUAUUUUACCCUAUACAUAAGUUUUUCAAGGAUUCAUGGAAGGUCUUAAAAUCACGGACAACUGCAAUAUUUCUUAUUUUCUAAGAUCUGAAGGAUAACUCAUUUGUACCCAACUUGAUCAAUGCUUACUAUGGACUAGCUUUUGGUUCAAGGCCAAUGGCAGUGGCAGUGGAAACAUCGAUCCGCAGUCGUUGGCACGGCAUGCUAGGCUAUUCCACUAUCACAAUACAAUUCCAAGAUAGCAUUAAAAAAAGAACAUUCAAUGAUCUUUGCACUAUUUAAGGUCCGUGUUAAGAGCAACUUCGUUUGUACUUUGUAGUGCUUAAUAUUAGGUUUAGAAUUUUAAUAAUGAUCAAUAAUCAAAAGAGACUUGACUAAUGACAUCUCACUUUGUGUACAGAUUCGCAGCAAUGCUGAUGAAUGGAAGGAAAGAAAAUGCUAUGAGGAAAUCAGACGAAGCCAACGGCUAUGUUCUUCGAACUCUGCAUCAAACGAAAAGAGAAUCAACUAAUCAAAGAAGAAAGAAGAAAAGUCAAUCAAUCAGACUUGCUAAAGAUUCUCAAGCAUUUAAGAAAUGAAAGAGACAAUCAAGUAUAGAGAGCAAAUCAAAGGGAAAUAUGUGGAAGCUCAAAUCAAGGAUAAUUGGAGGAACCAAAUCUUCAAACUAAAAAUGAAUCUGGCCACACCUCUCAAGUUAGAUUCAUGAGGCUAACCUUGGGUCUCACACUUAUAAAUCUAUGCCUCACAAGGAAAGACUUUCAGUCAUUGCUGCUCUGCGAUCCCAGAAAAGAGAAAUCAGAAGACUCAUCGAGCAAUAUAAAAGAAGAAGUAGAAUGGCAAAGAAGAUCACACAACUUGACAUCUAUUUCUACACCUUUCUAGUUCUUAGUACAAAUAUUGUAUUCUUGAGUCUGUAAGUGUUGCAAAAGAUAGGAAGAGUUAGAAAACAAAACAAGAGUUGUGUCAACACUAAAAAAAACAUUGUUGUUGUAAAUAGUUGGUGGUGAACAUACUAAAACCAUCACUGUUGUAAAGCCUUAGUCAAGAUCUAAGAGAACCCUUGUGACCUAAGGGAACUAGAUGUAGGUACCACAUCGGUACAAAACUAGUAUAAAAAUUGUUGUGCCUCCUUUACUUUUCUAUCUACAAAAUUUAAUUUUGCUGCGAUUAAUCUCAUAGUGAAGUUUAGUCGA
This 5254-nucleotide long non-coding RNA is filed under the name Nicotiana tabacum (common tobacco). RNAcentral describes it as "long non-coding RNA (NTAB_LNC004317)". Lineage: Eukaryota; Viridiplantae; Streptophyta; Magnoliopsida; Solanales; Solanaceae. The record is from RNAcentral.